CUAAAGUAGAAGCUGGGCAGUUGACUAGUGGUCUCUAAAGUAGAAGGCUGGGCAUCUGACAAGUGGUCCCUAAAGUAAAAGGCUGGGCAGCUGUCCAGUGGUCUCUAAAGUAGAGGGUUGUUGUGAGGGAAAUCCUGCAAGCAUGUGACGGAGUGGCAGGGAGGGGACCGGAGGAAACAGAAAUGAGUCUCGUGCAUCCUGAGGCAAGAGUAUUUUCCAAGGGUUAGUUCCUCUGCAGCCUGAGUGGAAAAGAACAGUGGGAAGCUGAGGUCCUGCACUCUGGGCACAAAGCCACCAGCUGCCUAGAGGAGACUGAAGUUAGAGUGACAACAGGGCCGAGAAGGCAGAAUUUGAAAAUGGUUGAUAAAGAGACUGAGGCCAAUGAACCUGCUCAAAGUUAUGUACAGUAAGUGACAAUACUAAGAUUCCUCUGAUUUUAAAGUCUCUCAGGACAAUGUUUUCCAUUGUACCAUACUUUAUUUCAAGUCCAAACUCUAAUUUUGCAGAAGAACUGCUCCUGAGACAAGAGAAAUGACUUUUCCAAAGUUACACAGUGAUUUAAUGCCAGAGCAAUUACCUGGAAUCCUAGCUUCCUAGGCUAUAUUUGUGCCAUUCUACGACAUUUAUUCUUUUUUUUUUUUAACAAAACCCUUACUUUCCAUCCUGGAAUCAAUACUGUUUAUUGGUUCUAAGGCAGAUGAGUGGUAAGGGCUAGGCAAUGGGGAUUAAGUGACUUGCCCAGGGUCACAUGGCUAGGAAGUGUCUGAGGCCAGGUUUGGACCCAGGACCGCUGGGCCUGGCUCUCAAUCCAUUGAGCCACCCAGCUGACCCCAACAUUUAUUCUUGAAUGAUUAUGUUCUGAUUGUACAGUCAAAGAAGUUUGCCUUUUGUUGGUAACCCAUGUGAAUAUGACCAUAAUCCUUCUGGCAAGUAAAACUUUCCUUCCUUCCCUGAUCUAAAACCCUUCUGCCUUUUCCCUUUCACUCUGGAGAUGAGAAGUGACUGUCCUUCAUCCAAUAUGGGGCCUCUUGGCCCUUGAGACUUACAGGUUCUACAGUUUCUGAGAAAAAUGAGGCUGUGUGACAUUUCUUUACCCCCAAACUCUAGGGGUUCCUCCUCCCUGUGGAACUUCUCUUCAGAUCCUGCUAGCAAUGACAGGAAUGAUGACUAGCAUCCUCUGUUCUGGGAUGUCCCCUGGUGCCAUUCUUGGAGCAGUUAGACCACCAUGGGGGUUUACAUUGCUGCUGCAUAAUUAUCACUGCUUUACACCUCAUCUGAUUUGAAAGAAUGUUCAGCUUUCCCAUUCUUUUUCAUCUUCCUUUCCCAAUUAACUAGAUUGUGGGGACAAAUCAGAACCAAAAUCCUUGCUAAUGUUUAGCUUUGGAACUCAGGGAGAGACUCAUUUCUAUUCUCUACUGCUACAGCCUCAGAAUCAGAAAUCUUUGAAGAAAUCCAAGACCAGCUCCUUGGAUGCGUGCCGUGUGAGCUGGUAUCAGUUCUUCAGAGGAGAACAGAAGCUAUAAAUGGUUUAGUAGUGCAUCCAAGAAAAUAAAUGAAGCAGAUGUGCCUAGGCAUGCCCCCAGAAGGAGUCUCUGCUUUUUGACAAGGUGUGAAGCCUCUCCCUCAGUAUCCCACCACCCGACAAGGUGUGAAGUGCUCAUGUCCCCAGCCAGGAGGCUGUUAUUCUGCACUGACUGAACUUCCCAUACCUGAGCUACACUCUGGAGUUUGCCCUCAAAAGACAAAGACUCAAGCGGGUUGGAGGGAGGGGAAGUCAGACAAUGAUGAAGAAAAGACUACUCUUGCUGCCUUGAAGAGGAGUUAGCCCAAGCAGACGGGCCUUCCAGAGGACUCCACAUCUCAGGGAUGGCAGCAGAUGGAGGCUGCGGUGGGGUGGCAAAGACCUGGGGGCAUGGGAAGGGGUAGGGCUGCAAGAAUCAGAAACAUUGGAGUAUUGGAGGAAACAGUAGGCAAAGACAAAGUGAAGAGGAAUUCCGGUGCCAGGCCAAAGUCUGCAUUAAACUGGCAGCUUUGAGAGCUGGAAUCGAAGGGCAAAGAGGCAUAGAACCAUAGCAAGGAGAAGCCAACACAAAUCCAUCUCUUUCCUGCUACUUUGAGUCAUAUGGACUGUGCAGGUGGUGUAGGUUAGUGAGGGGGGACGGUGGCUCAUUAUUGACCUUGAAGUCUUUCAACACUUGGGGGAUGUCUCAAGAUCAGGGUGAGAAAUAUAAUCGAUGUACAUUAAUCGCCACAGUGAGGACUGACCAGAAAAUAUCUUAGACAUCAAACAUUUUAUCUCCUUGCCAAGUAGAGAAAUAUGGCAAACAAAGCAAUAGUAGCUUAGAAUAUAAACUUAUUUAGAACAUCUGCUUUAGAAUAUAAACCCAUUUAUAACAUCCGAGAAGAAUGGUAGAAUAUUGUGAGCCUAGAUAAGUAAGAAAUGGUGAAAGUAAAACCAUCUGCAGAAGACUUAGCAAGAGACCCAACCAAACAAAAUCAUCCUGAGAUAUUUAAAAAAAGGAAAAGGUUUCCGCCACAAACACUUUGCUUCAUCAGUGACUCUGAAACCAUCACAUAUAGAUCCUAAUAACACAGUCCCUAAUGUACUGCAUAAGGAAGUGGAAAUGGCAUUAACAUUAAAGAAACUAAGAUAGACUGGACCAAACAUGCACAGACAGGCAAAGGAAGUCUGGGAUAAAAGCAAUCCAAUUGGGAUGGUGUUAAUGAAUCAAUUCUCAAGGAAUCUGAAAGAAGGGAAGACACCAAAGGCUUAGAAAAAAGUUGAUCCUGUUACAACCACCAGAAAAAAUGACCAUGAAAAUAUAAUAACUACUAAACUCAGAGGGCAAUUGUCCCACUUCUACAGAAUUUUAAAGAGAUUAAUGGAUCCACGAAUGGAGAGAAAACUUGAAGGCAUGAAAAAGGAACAGGCUGGCUUUACCUUUACCAUCUACCUCCUCUGUUCCUAUUCAUGAGCUGCUGAAUGCUACUGGAGAAAGUCACAUAACUAAUGAUUAGGGACAAAUUAUACAGUUUAUAUAAGCUAAUCUCUCAUUUGCAUAACAAUCCUUUUUAUUCUUCCCUAAUUGGUUCUCUAUCCCACUACCCAGAGAGGCUAUUCCAAUAAUCUUUUCUCUCCUUAACCCCCUACCAUCCCUCAUCCACUCCUUCUCAGCAGAAGAAUUCAUCUCAUACUUAAUUAGAAAGCAGAGAUCAGGGUACAGCUUAGUGGCUCAGUGGACUAGAGAUGGGAAGUCCUGGGUUCAAAUCUGGACUCUGACACAUCCCAGCUGUGUGACCUUGGUCAAGUCACUCCACCCUCAUUGCCUAGCCCUUACCACUCUUCUGCCUUAGAACCAAUCACAGUAUUGAUUCCAAGACAGAAGGUAAGGUUUAAAAAAGGUACAAAAGAAAAGAAAAAGAAAGGAGAGAUCAUCUGCCCCAAGUCCCUUCUUAAAUCUUCUCAAUAUCAUGCCCUCCUCUUCUCCUUUGCUUCAGUCUCUGAAGAAAAGGUAGUCCUUCUCUUAGGCACAGUCAGCCCCUCCACUUGUGCCCUUGAGCCCAUUUCAUCCUGUCUCUUCUGAGAACUUGUCCAUUUGAGCAUCUCCCCUCUGGUUAACCUGUAGUUGUUUUACUCUUUUUUUAAUUGCUUGCUGCCUACAAGCAUGCCUAGAUCUCAAUGUCUUUAAAGGAUCUUUCCCUGAACAGGGCAUCCCCUCAAGCCUUCAUUCUAUAACUCUUUGCCCUUUCAUCACCAAAAUCU
Molecule: non-coding RNA, 3763 nt
Organism: Monodelphis domestica (gray short-tailed opossum)
Lineage: Eukaryota; Metazoa; Chordata; Mammalia; Didelphimorphia; Didelphidae
Source: RefSeq, a predicted model, not a curated record